RNAcentral lists this ribosomal RNA (378 nucleotides) under Triticum aestivum (bread wheat). RNAcentral's name for it is "partial small subunit ribosomal RNA". The record is from RNAcentral. Lineage: Eukaryota; Viridiplantae; Streptophyta; Magnoliopsida; Poales; Poaceae.
AUGGAAGACGCGUUUACCUCCAACCCAGCCCCACCCAACGUUAUCGAGCUUCCGGAUGAUGAUGAAGAUGUGGCCCCUAGGCCCAGAAAGAACAAAAAAGUAGCAGCUGGUAAGACGUCUCAGCAGGGACCGAUGACAACAUCAACCGUCCAGCAAUCUGAAGAUGCAGGUGGGGCCUCUAUAACUUUUGCUGUCCCAUUGUCGAGUGAGGGCCCCGCACCGUCGAUUGUACCGGUGUUUCCUUCAGUCGUCCAACCUCACGCUUCGGAGCUCCAAGAUGCCGCACCUGGGUCAUCUGCUCCCUUCUUCACCAACUACCAUGUUCCGGAAAGCCAUUCAGACACGGCUGCGGAGGCCAUCCGUCAGGCUAACGUAUGA